AACGAACGCUGGCGGCAUGCCUAACACAUGCAAGUCGAACGAGACCUUCGGGUCUAGUGGCGCACGGGUGCGUAACGCGUGGGAACCUGCCCUUAGGUUCGGAAUAACUCCCCGAAAGGGGUGCUAAUACCGGAUAAUGUCUUCGGACCAAAGAUUUAUCGCCUUUGGAUGGGCCCGCGUUGGAUUAGCUAGUUGGUAGGGUAAAAGCCUACCAAGGCGACAAUCCAUAGCUGGUCUGAGAGGAUGAUCAGCCACACUGGGACUGAGACACGGCCCAGACUCCUACGGGAGGCAGCAGUGGGGAAUAUUGGACAAUGGGCGAAAGCCUGAUCCAGCAAUGCCGCGUGAGUGAUGAAGGCCUUAGGGUUGUAAAGCUCUUUUACCCGGGAUGAUAAUGUCAGUACCGGGAGAAUAAGCUCCGGCUAACUCCGUG
Molecule: ribosomal RNA, 433 nt
Filed under: uncultured bacterium
Lineage: Bacteria
Description: partial 16S ribosomal RNA
Rfam family: Bacterial small subunit ribosomal RNA
Source: RNAcentral